GACGAACGCUGGCGGCGUGCUUAACACAUGCAAGUCGAGCGGAAAGGCCACUUCGGUGGUACUCGAGCGGCGAACGGGUGAGUAACACGUGAGUAAUCUGCCCCUGGCUUUGGGAUAGCCACCGGAUACGGUGAUUAAUACCGGAUACGACCACUUCUCGCAUGGGAUGGUGGUGGAAAGUUUUUUCGGCCAGGGAUGUGCUCGCGGCCUAUCUGCUUGAUGGUGAGGUAAUGGCUCACCAUUGCGUCGAAGGGUAGCCUUCCUGAGAGGGUGACCUGUCACACUGGGACUAAGAGACGGACCAUGCUCGUACGGGAGGCAGGAAUGGGGAAUCUUGGACAAUGGGCGGAAACCUGAUCCAGCAACGCCGCGUGAGGGAUGCCGGCCUUCGGGUUGUAAACCUCUUUCAGCAGGGACGAAGCGCAAGUGACGGUACCUGCAGAAGAAGCACCGGCCAACUACGAGCCAGCAGCCGCAGUAA
Molecule: ribosomal RNA, 481 nt
Filed under: uncultured bacterium
Lineage: Bacteria
Description: partial 16S ribosomal RNA
Rfam family: Bacterial small subunit ribosomal RNA
Source: RNAcentral